UAAUACGUAGGUGGCAAGCGUUAUCCGGAAUUAUUGGGCGUAAAGCGCGCGCAGGUGGUUUCUUAAGUCUGAUGUGAAAGCCCACGGCUCAACCGUGGAGGGUCAUUGGAAACUGGGAGACUUGAGUGCAGAAGAGGAAAGUGGAAUUCCAUGUGUAGCGGUGAAAUGCGUAGAGAUAUGGAGGAACACCAGUGGCGAAGGCGACUUUCUGGUCUGUAACUGACACUGAGGCGCGAAAGCGUGGGGAGCAAACAGG
RNAcentral lists this ribosomal RNA (256 nucleotides) under uncultured bacterium. RNAcentral describes it as "partial 16S ribosomal RNA". It matches the Rfam family "Bacterial small subunit ribosomal RNA", at positions 521 to 776 of the family's 1533-position model. The record is from RNAcentral.